AUGUCUCUUUUGAGAGAUCACAAGAUCGUGCGUAUUUUGCUCAUUGUGCUUUCUCAGUUUGCUUACUUUGCUGCUUUGAUUAUCAACGCGCUCGCGGGACCAGGAAAAGGUCCAUUUCAGCGCAGCACUGGGAAUAUAUCAGACAGAUAUCAGACAGAGAUCACUCCUGCUGGAUGGACUUUUUCGAUAUGGGGUGUCAUCUACUCCUGGCUCUUCCUGAUGAACGCAUAUAUCCUGACCUGGCUCUGUAGAGGGUUUACAGUUGAAAACGUUCUAAUAGAGAAGCAUGUCCGUUACAUCCUCACCGUUUACCCUGUGAUUAUCUAUGCUCUAAUUGGAAGCCUGAGCAAGCAUUACGACGCAGCAGCACCUGGGCGGAACGCUGUCUUUUCAGCGGUGCUCCUCGUGUUGGCCUGUAUUGUGUUGGUGGUGCGCGUGGGGCUGGUGGUUUGGAGACACAGGACUCGGCCUCUCUACCAUGAAGUCAGUCCUGAGGUCCUGAUGUCACCAAGCAGCAGAACCGAUAAAUAACCAUACAUCAUAAACACUCAUAAAAACUUCAAAGAUGACGUGCCCUGAGCGGUAACACUUCC
Cyprinus carpio (common carp) is the source of this 593-nucleotide long non-coding RNA. NCBI's taxonomy places the organism in Eukaryota, Metazoa, Chordata, Actinopteri, Cypriniformes, Cyprinidae. The record is from Ensembl.